AAAGAUUAAGCCAUGCAUGUCCAAGUAUGAACACGCUUUGUACGGUGAAACUGCGAAUGGCUCAUUAUAUCAGUGAUCAUUUAUUUGAUGAUGCCUUACUACGUGGAUAACCGUGGUAAUUCUAGAGCUAAUACAUGCACACGACUCCCGACUCGCGAGGGAAGGGAGGUAUUUAUUAGGUAAGAACCAGCCCUGGCAACAGGAGCUCUGGUGAUUCAUGAUAACUGCACGAAUCGCACGGCCUUGCGCUGGCGAUGGAUCAUUCAAAUUUCUGCCCUAUCAACUUUUGAUGGUAGGAUAGAGGCCUACCAUGGUCG
RNAcentral lists this ribosomal RNA (317 nucleotides) under uncultured fungus. RNAcentral describes it as "bacterial SSU rRNA". It matches the Rfam family "Eukaryotic small subunit ribosomal RNA", at positions 39 to 352 of the family's 1831-position model. Lineage: Eukaryota; Fungi. The record is from RNAcentral.